Molecule: long non-coding RNA, 726 nt
Filed under: Homo sapiens (human)
Lineage: Eukaryota; Metazoa; Chordata; Mammalia; Primates; Hominidae
Description: HSALNT0295320
Source: RNAcentral
CAGGUGGAGGAACUGGUAAUCUUCUCAGGGCUUUGCCUGAAAUGGUGUUGUGAAAUGUUCCAGCAAAGCCCAUUUAGGAGAGCCUAUAUGGACAAGGAUUCUUGCUGCACUUUGUGUGGGUAAUCAGGCCAAGUAUAUGGGACUGAAGCUUCUUUUGCAGGAAAGGACCCUCAGCCUCUCAAAAAGCAUCAUAGACCUGAAACUCAGCAGAUCACAGCAUCCAGACAAUGACUUGCCAGUCCCUUCACUCAUCAUGAGUGCUUCCUCACCCUUCCCUAGUUCCUCUUUUCCCACACACAGUUACGUUUCUUCCCUGCUGUAUAAACCCCUCGUUUUAGUUGAUCAGGGAGAUUGAUUUGAGACUGAUCUCCCAUCUCCUCAGCUGCAGCACCCAAUUAAAGCCUUCUUCCUCGGCAAUACUCAAUGUCUCAAUGAUUGGCUUUCUGUGAGCUGAGCAGCAGGGCCUAGACGGAACUCCUGGGCUUUCAGUAACGAUGCAUGUACACUUUUAAACACUGCAAUUAAUGGGUCAUGAGAUAUUGAGAAAUUGGAAUGGCAUCAACUUGGCCAAUUCUGAGAAAACACACUGUGCUUAAAUGUCAGGGCCCUGCCUCCUGACCUCGACAGUAUAUGGUUGAUUUUGAGUCAUAGCAGGUGAGUAUGGCCUGGUUUCAGUGUUUUAUAGAAAUAUAAAAUAUGGCUGAUCGCAUUUAUUUUAAAUCCAAC